UUAAUUUGAGAGUUUGAUCCUGGCUCAGGACGAACGCUGGCGGCGUGCCUAAUACAUGCAAGUCGAACGAACUCUGGUAUUGAUUGGUGCUUGCAUCAUGAUUUACAUUUGAGUGAGUGGCGAACUGGUGAGUAACACGUGGGAAACCUGCCCAGAAGCGGGGGAUAACACCUGGAAACAGAUGCUAAUACCGCAUAACAACUUGGACCGCAUGGUCCGAGUUUGAAAGAUGGCUUCGGCUAUCACUUUUGGAUGGUCCCGCGGCGUAUUAGCUAGAUGGUGGGGUAACGGCUCACCAUGGCAAUGAUACGUAGCCGACCUGAGAGGGUAAUCGGCCACAUUGGGACUGAGACACGGCCCAAACUCCUACGGGAGGCAGCAGUAGGGAAUCUUCCACAAUGGACGAAAGUCUGAUGGAGCAACGCCGCGUGAGUGAAGAAGGGUUUCGGCUCGUAAAACUCUGUUGUUAAAGAAGAACAUAUCUGAGAGUAACUGUUCAGGUAUUGACGGUAUUUAACCAGAAAGCCACGGCUAACUACGUGCCAGCAGCCGCGGUAAUACGUAGGUGGCAAGCGUUGUCCGGAUUUAUUGGGCGUAAAGCGAGCGCAGGCGGUUUUUUAAGUCUGAUGUGAAAGCCUUCGGCUCAACCGAAGAAGUGCAUCGGAAACUGGGAAACUUGAGUGCAGAAGAGGACAGUGGAACUCCAUGUGUAGCGGUGAAAUGCGUAGAUAUAUGGAAGAACACCAGUGGCGAAGGCGGCUGUCUGGUCUGUAACUGACGCUGAGGCUCGAAAGUAUGGGUAGCAAACAGGAUUAGAUACCCUGGUAGUCCAUACCGUAAACGAUGAAUGCUAAGUGUUGGAGGGUUUCCGCCCUUCAGUGCUGCAGCUAACGCAUUAAGCAUUCCGCCUGGGGAGUACGGCCGCAAGGCUGAAACUCAAAGGAAUUGACGGGGGCCCGCACAAGCGGUGGAGCAUGUGGUUUAAUUCGAAGCUACGCGGAGAACCUUACCAGGUCUUGACAUACUAUGCAAAUCUAAGAGAUUAGACGUUCCCUUCGGGGACAUGGAUACAGGUGGUGCAUGGUUGUCGUCAGCUCGUGUCGUGAGAUGUUGGGUUAAGUCCCGCAACGAGCGCAACCCUUAUUAUCAGUUGCCAGCAUUAAGUUGGGCACUCUGGUGAGACUGCCGGUGACAAACCGGAGGAAGGUGGGGAUGACGUCAAAUCAUCAUGCCCCUUAUGACCUGGGCUACACACGUGCUACAAUGGAUGGUACAACGAGUUGCGAACUCGCGAGAGUAAGCUAAUCUCUUAAAGCCAUUCUCAGUUCGGAUUGUAGGCUGCAACUCGCCUACAUGAAGUCGGAAUCGCUAGUAAUCGCGGAUCAGCAUGCCGCGGUGAAUACGUUCCCGGGCCUUGUACACACCGCCCGUCACACCAUGAGAGUUUGUAACACCCAAAGUCGGUGGGGUAACCUUUUAGGAACCAGCCGCCUAAGGUGGGACAGAUGAUUAGGGUGAAGUCGUAACAAGGUAGCCGUAGGAGAACCUGCGGCUGGAUCACCUCCUUUCUAAGGAA
This 1576-nucleotide ribosomal RNA is filed under the name Lactiplantibacillus plantarum. RNAcentral describes it as "Lactobacillus plantarum 16S ribosomal RNA". It matches the Rfam family "Bacterial small subunit ribosomal RNA". The record is from RNAcentral. Lineage: Bacteria; Bacillati; Bacillota; Bacilli; Lactobacillales; Lactobacillaceae.